This is a regulatory RNA element of Caldicellulosiruptor owensensis OL, 184 nucleotides long. It matches the Rfam family "Lysine riboswitch aptamer". From Rfam's summary of the family: Riboswitches are metabolite binding domains within certain messenger RNAs that serve as precision sensors for their corresponding targets. NCBI's taxonomy places the organism in Bacteria, Bacillati, Bacillota, Caldicellulosiruptorales, Caldicellulosiruptoraceae. The record is from Rfam.
UUAAUAGAUAGAGGCGCGUCUUUUAAGAGUAGGCAGGCGGAUGUGAAAGAAGACACAGAUGAAACCUGCUGAAAGGAAAAGACGCCGAAGGGAGUUUCUUUCUUCUUGGAAACUUCCCUGGGUGCAUGGAGAAUAUCCAUGCAACUGUCACCAAUUGUAAAAUUGGUGGAGCGCUAUCUGUUAA